AGUGAAGUUGUGAUGUCAAGUAAACGGGAGUUCAAUUUCAUCAUUGCACACUGGCGCAGCUGCUCUGUAGACAAUACAGUACUUGAAAGUCAUUUUUUCCUUGGCAUUUUGAAUAACAAGUUCUGUGAGAUAAAGCACAGUGAAGAUCUUUUGGAAAAGCAUCUGGAAUUCAUCUGUGUAAAGACCAAAUGGCCUUCUUCAAAACAACAGUAAUCCCACCUAUUACCCAUCUUCUUCUGAUGUGACCUGCACCUCCGCAUGCUGCCCAG
Molecule: long non-coding RNA, 269 nt
Organism: Lagopus leucura (white-tailed ptarmigan)
Lineage: Eukaryota; Metazoa; Chordata; Aves; Galliformes; Phasianidae
Exons: 3
Source: RefSeq, a predicted model, not a curated record